RNAcentral lists this unclassified non-coding RNA (259 nucleotides) under uncultured fungus. RNAcentral's name for it is "partial contains 5.8S ribosomal RNA, internal transcribed spacer 2, and large subunit ribosomal RNA". The record is from RNAcentral. Lineage: Eukaryota; Fungi.
AACGCAACUUGCGCUUCUCGGGUACCUCCGAGGAGCAUGCCUGUUUGAGUGUUACGAAAAGGACCGUUGGAGGCUUGCCGAGGCGGGGGGGGGAGGGUUCCUCUCCCCUCUUGGGCUCCUCUCAAAUGCAUUAGCUGGGAACGAUGAUCCCCGGCCAACUCGAAAGUGUUUUUGGCUCGGAUCAUCAACUCCUCCCGCUUCGAAUCAAUAAUCAAUUGAGGAAGGCCUCAAAUCAGGCAAGACUACCCGCUGAACUUAA